GCUCCCGUAGUGUAGUCCGGCCAAUCAUUCCGCCCUUUCGAGGCGAAGACCCGGGUUCGAAUCCCGGCGGGAGCACCA
Molecule: transfer RNA, 78 nt
Filed under: Methanomassiliicoccales archaeon
Lineage: Archaea; Methanobacteriati; Thermoplasmatota; Thermoplasmata; Methanomassiliicoccales
Description: tRNA-Glu
Rfam family: tRNA
About the family: Transfer RNA (tRNA) molecules are approximately 80 nucleotides in length. Their secondary structure includes four short double-helical elements and three loops (D, anti-codon, and T loops).
Source: RNAcentral